RNAcentral lists this long non-coding RNA (11561 nucleotides) under Daucus carota (carrot). RNAcentral's name for it is "long non-coding RNA (DCAR_LNC005847)". Lineage: Eukaryota; Viridiplantae; Streptophyta; Magnoliopsida; Apiales; Apiaceae. The record is from RNAcentral.
GACACUCUCGGUGGGCCUGCCAGGCUGCCACUGAUAUUUUCCAGAAUAAAAAAAGCUUCGAUGCAACUUUAUCGGUGAGUCAUCGGUGAAUAGGAAUUAAUUGGAUAUUAAUUAAGUUAUUAGUGAGAAUUAAUCAAUUUAUCGAAUAAUGAAUAGGGUGUUUGGAACGACGACUUCUGGGCUUAGAAGCUCAGAAGCCCGUUUCAACUUUUUGUGGUAUGUUUGGCAACCGUCCUGAAGUGGUUAAUCAAACCAAAAAAAGCUCAGAAAAAAAGCUUCGUUGCCUAGCUUUUUCUUCAUACUUGGCUUUUUCUCAAUACUCAGCUUUUUCCUUUCACUGGCGCUAGAUUACGAUGCAUUAGUAUUUAGUCUAAAAGUAAUUCGCUGCAAGCUAGUAAUUGCUAUCGUUUUUGUCCAAUAAUUUUUUUAUUUUAACUAGUUGAGAAUCCGCGCGUUGCGGCGGCCUAUAAAAAUUAUAUUAAUGAUCCAAUAUUAAUAUUUAUAGAAUAAAAUAAUUUUAUGACUGUCUAUAAAAAGUAUAUUAAUGUUUCAAGUUAAUAUUUGUACGAUUAAAUAAAUUUAUAUUAUAAAAUUCUCGAUGUAAUACAAAUACUAAUAUAUAAAAUUGCAAAAUUGGACUAUAAUUCAUGGUGAAAAAAUGACAAUAAAUUUAUACACGUAAAUAACAAUUUAAAGCGUGACGAAUCUUAAAAUUUUAUUUUUUUUUUGGAAAAGUAAUCAUGUUCUUACAUUGUCACCUUCCUCUAAUUUUUUUAGAUUGAUUGUGCACAAAAACAUUUAACUUAAAUAUAACUACCCUCUUAAAAGUUGCUUGAACGGAGCAAACAUAUAAUGCAUGAAUAAUUUUUUCAUGUAUACAAAGUAAAUAAUAUAAAAAUUAACAACAACAAACAUGUCCGAUGAACAAAACAAAUAUUAUAAAAGAAUAACCAACAAACAUACAUCAUUAAUAGUUAAUUAAUUGACAUCAACCAUCGAUAUCCUAUCAAGACUAUAUUCUUUCCCCGUGUUUGGAUUUGUCGACUCCAAUAUAACGGUCUAUAACUACAUUUGCUUGCAACAACCUUCACUGUAACAGCCUUCACUUAUCGUUGCAGAAUAACGACACCUCCGAGUUAAAAAUCGAGCAAGAGAAAGGUAUUUUCAAUUUUUGAUAUUUUUCAUCCAAUAAUUUCAGAAAAUUAAAAAAUAAAACGGAGCGAUGUGAGAGGCACCACCUACACGCCCCUCGCUUCUCCUUUAAAAAUCGAGUAAGAGAACUAUCGGGUAGAUUUGUGGUAUUGAGAGAGGAGGUUGUGUUUUGAUGAUCCAAAAUAUUACGAUCUAUACGGGUAUUUAUAGGUGGAGAGAGACUUGUUUGCUACUCUUUCCCAUAAUUAAAUAAUCUGCACAAAAUCAGAUUAAAAUUUUCAAGCUACUAUAUUCCAUAAAUAAUCUGUCUUUCCCAUAAUUGAAUAAUCUGAAACAAAAUCAUAUUAAAACUUUCAAGAUACUAUAUUCCAUAAAUAAUCUGAAACAAAAUUGAAACAAAAUCAGAUUCUGAAACUUGCUUCUAAUAUACCCGAAACUAAAAAAGGUAGUUCUAAUUUUUAAUAUUUUUCAUCCAAAAAUUUCAAAAAAUUAGAAAAAUAAAACAGAGCGAUGUGAGAGGCGCCACCUACACGCCCCUCGUUUCUCCUUUAUAUAAGUAUAUUGAUUUUUCCUAAACUAUUUCAUAUAUUAAUAAUAAAAGAUACCUUUUUACUUGUAUUAAAUGAAUAUAAGUUUUAAAUAAAGGAUUUAUCUUUUUACUUGUAUUAUCAGCAGUUAUUAUUUUUUUUAAUUAGUGCGGAGUUUAAAAUUUUGUAUUUAUAAAUCUUUCAUGUAUUAAUAAUAAAAGGUCUUAUAUUAUAAUAAUUUAUUUUUUAAAAGAAACAAAUUAUUAUAUUACAAAAUUACGAAACUAUACCAACUUAUAAGUUAUGUUAUCCAAACACUUAAAAAAUUAUAAGCCACGGUAUCCAAACACUUUUAAUAGCUUAUAAGUCCAGACCAACUUCUCACUUAUAAUCCACUUCUUUACUUUAAGCAAUAAGUUACUUCUUUUAAGCCCAGCCAAACGCCCAUUAACCGAAAUUAUAAGCUCACCAUCAAUCUUAUCUUCUUCUUUUUUUUGACAGAAACAUCUAUCUUAUCUAAUAUUAUAAAAAAAAAAAAAAAGCAUUGGUGAACAUGAAUUAAUCGAUUAAAGAUGUUUUAUGAUCGUGUUUGCAUGGUCUUAAAUUCAGGUUUUAAGGUCAUUUUGACUUUGAAUUUGAAAAAAAAAUCGUUUAGUGAGUCCGAAGUCAAUUUAAAGUCAGAAAUUGAUUUAAAACUAAAAAUUAAUUAAAAUUAUUUUUUCAGCGAUUCAAUUUUUUCAACCUGUUUUGAUAAAAUUUAUCCAUAGACACAUAAGUUACUUAGAAUUUAUUUUUAUUUUUAUUUUUAUAAUUCCUAAACUAUUAAUAUGUUAAAAUUAUCUAAAUAAUAUUUUAAAAUUUCAAUUUAUCACGACGUGAAAUUAGAAUUCGCAAUUGUGCCAAAUGCCUUUACAUGAGAAAUGUAUAGACAUGUAUAAAUGGUUUAUGGUUAGUGAAAGUUCUAAGAAAGAGUCCUUUAAUAGGUUAAACAGAAGACAAUAGGUUCUCUCUGCAUACGCGUUUCUUAGUGUGGAUAAAAUCCUCCUAUUUCCCCAACACACUCUAUGCAUCCAUUAACAAAAAUGGCUUUCGACAGCACUAGCAAAGCAGUUGCGAAAGAGGCAUGGUCUGAACUAGUGCAUUCACUUCUGUCGUGGACUCCCUCCACUGAUAUGUCCAUGGUAUAUUACUACACUAUACCAGAGGACCACUCGAACCGCUUAGAUUUAUACAAAUAUAAGCUAGGUACCGAGAACAUCGAAGCCAGAAUUAAAUCUGGUCUGCAUUCUCAACUGGUGCAGCCAAAUUACCAAGGGAUCGAGCAUAUUCGAGAUUGUAUACGAUCAAGUAAUGGUAAUUAUGUGGUGAAAGCAGGGGAGCGUGAAGAUGAGCAAGGGAUUGAGUAUGUUCGAGUUUGUGUGAGAUCAACUAAUGAUUAUCAUGAUGUGGAAGUAAGUGAAGGUGAAAAUCAGCUGGGGAUUUCGGAUAUUCAACCUUGUGUGAGAUCCACUAAUCGUUAUUCUGCGGUGCAAGUAGAUGAACAAGGAAAUCAACUACUAAUGAACAGGAUCACCUACGAGCUAGUGAAAAUUAUGGCAACUUUAUUUGAUGACUUGUUCAAUUUCAUUGAGAGUUACAACAUGCACGGGGUAGAGAAGCCAACACUGCGGUUUCAAGUUCUGGAAUUAAUUAAGCUUUUACAUCACUAUGGAAGUGAUACUAUUCGAAGCGCAGUGGAGGAAGAACUUGAGUAUGUGAAUGAGAAGAAUUCAGCAACACAGUACAAGAAAGCUCUGGAAGUAAUGUUGAGAGUAUGCGAUACGGGGAUAAGUCAAAGUAUUUUUUACGAAAUAAUAGAAAAGGCAGAAACGGAUCAAGUGCUCUAUGAAUGGUGAGGAAUAAAUGGAGUCGUGCGGGUUAGCUUAAAAAAAAUGACUUCUUUCUUAAAAUAAAGAAUUGGAGUAGAAGUGAGAAGUAAAUUAAUAAUUAUAAAUUAUUAACGCAUUUGGAAAAGAAGUAGAAGUUGUAAAGAAAAACUAGCAUUUUCUAUUUCCAACUUCUUUCUCAUGACUUCUUAAAAAUACUCCUUACUUCUUCACGCAAGGAAAGUAGAAGCAGAAAGCUGGAGUUACUUCUUAUAAGAAUGUUUGUACUAAAUGAGAAAUGAGAAACACAGAAUUGAGAAUGAAUAUGAUUAUUGGUUUAAUAAUAGUGCAUAUUAUUUAAAAAGAUCGCAUACAUUACCAGCCAGAUGAAGUUAUUCAUCACAAGUCACAACAAAGUACAAAGAGAAAGUUGCAAUUCUGUCACUGACUGUCACUCACUCUGUAAAUUAUGAAGUUGCUCGAAAACAAAACACAAAAGAAAACGUUGCAAUUCCUCCGCUCUCAUAAAAUUACGAAGUUGAGAGCUCAGCUUAAUUAGCAAUGAGGUAGGCCUCAAUAGCCUUGAAAAGAGCAGUGUUCUGCUCAUCAGCAAACUUGAUGUUCUCCUCAGGAACCACGGCAUCGCCUUUGGUGUGGAAUAUGGCAGUGGUCUUAGUAAUGCUACCUCCGUCAGCAGUUGGCACAACGACCAUAUGGGUUUCAAUGGAUUCGAUGAAUCCUAGAAGGAUGUCUCCAUCAAUGACUGUGGAAUCGUAUGUCAAGGCCUCCUUGUUCACUGCAUCAGUUCUAACAGUCAUUGUGGUGAUUGGGCUACCUGCAACAGAAUUAUAUAAAAAUUUAUUUAAUGUACAAUUUCAGGAAAUAAUCACCUCAAAUCAGUAUGAUAUCAGAAAUGAUAUAUCGAGAAGAAUUGGAUAUAUAACUAACCUUCGGGAAGGGUGAUAGUUCUGAUGGUUCCAGCUCCACCGUCUCCUUUGACAUCAACACUCUUGUAAGCUCCGGGGGCAGCCUUGGGGAUAACAGUAUCAACAUCAAGGACGAUGCCGCUGAAUAUUUUCUCUGCUGAGACGGAAGAAGUGAUCUCGAGUGAAUGGCUCUGGGCACCCAUGAUCUUUAGGAAGUUAUUGCUGAAAUUUAGUAGAAAGAUUAAGCUCAAGGUUUAUGCUGGAAGAUUGAUGUGAUGAUAGUAGAGCACCAAGAGCACCUAUUUAUAGUACGCUAACAUCAAUGUUGAGGUGUUGAUAAAUAUUACAAUAAUGCAUUUUUUUAUUUUAAAAAGUUUAGAAAAGGAUUCCAAUCCGUUGAAAGAAAAGUUAAAGCUGUGUUUGUUGAAAUUUCAAAAGAUGUAUUCUAGAAGGGUCCUGUUCCUUGACAACCGGUUGUUAGAUAAGGGUUAUCUAACACACUGUACGGGGGCCGUUGGAUUUAUAUUCCAAGGGCUCAGAUUCAAUUUUGGGUUUUUAAUGUAUCCGCGGUUAUUUUCCGCGGAAGGGAAAACUCCCUAUCCGCGGUUAUUUACCGCGGAAGGGAGUUUUCCCUAUCCGCGGUUUUUUAUAGCGGAUACAUUAAAAUCUCAGAUUGGAUCUGGGCCUUUGAAAUAUAGAUCUAACGGCCCCCGUACAGUGUGUUAGAUAACCCUUAUCUAACAACCGGUUGUCAAGGAACAGGACCCAUUCUAGAAAGCAUUCACUAGUUUGAGUUGAAAGGUCAUAGAUGUACACUGGACAUACAUUGUUCAAACAAUCCAGUGUUGCUCAAUAAUUUAUUUAAAAUUUCUGACACAAAAAUAACUAUUUAUUUAAAAUUUUAAAUCUUGUAUUAAAAUUAUUGAAUUAUUUGUUUUUUUCAAAGAGAGAUUGUCCUUUUUAUCAUUGGUAGAUAUUUUAUCUCAUUGAAUUUGUUUUAACAAGGUUUUAAUGGAUGAGUAAGUGAUCCCUAUUAUAAUGACAAUCCGAGAGACAUAUUAUAAAACGAUUUUCGUUUUGCGUCAAUCACAUACAGUAUUAUACUCAUCCUUGUAAAUUUUUAGCCCUGUAUAAAAUUUCUAUAUGCUCCAGAUCAGUUUACAUUACUUAUAAAGAAAUGAGCUCACAACAACUAAACACACAGCAGCAAGCUCUUGUUUUUACUUGCUUUCUGUUUACUAACCUCUCUUACUUAUUACUAGUAACUUAAUUAAUAGCUCUAAUUCUAAUGUCAUGGUAGAUCCUAUAUUAUACUCCCUCCAUCUCAUUUUAAGUGUCCUGUUUUGACUUUCAACGGUCAAAUUGACCAACUUUUGACCAAGCAUAAAGAACAAAUUCGUUAUUAUUUUAAAAAACUAAAAAUUACAUUUUAUAGUAUAUUGUAUGUACUUUAAAGUGACAUAAAUUUUUUUAUUUUUAAAAAUUAUAUUAUAUGUGUAAAUCUCAGUUAAAAUUUGGUCAAUUUGACCAUUCAAAAGUCAAACAGGACACUUAAAAUGGGAUAGAAGGAGUAAUAAUUAUCUAUUUAUCACUGACCAAGUCUAGGCUGUUCACCAGCGUCCAUUUUUGACCUAAGUCUCUUGUCGUCUAAAAGUAUUACGAAUAUCCUCUUGUAAGUGUAAACAUAUAUACUGAUGACGUUUGACUUUUUACACGUGAUUUUGGGGGCUUUGACCGUAUAAGAAAUAUUAAUAUUUUUGCAAUUUUUUCUGAAUAAAAAUAUAACAUAAAUAUGUUUAUUUAUAAAAAAAAUUAAAAAAUAUUAAUUUUAAACAUGUGGUCAAGCCUCCCAAAGAUACGUGUAGAAAAUCAAACGUCCUCUAUAAUGGAUUAGAGGGAGUAACAAACUGGUUAAACGGGAAUUUUACUUAUCCUUGGGUGGGCAUUAUUUUACAUAUAAAAAACAUUUUAAGAAGCAUUCGGACAAAAGUAUAGUAGGUGGAUAGAGUGUUGUGUCGGGUUUUGUCAAUGUUGAGGGCUGAGUAUGAGCCACUUGUUCUUUGUUUAAAGACUCACAGUACAAUGUGUAUUAACCUAAGUCGUCCUGCAUGCGAAUUUGGUUAAAAUAGAGGUUACCAAAUUAAAAUAUAUUAUCUUGGAAGACGGUGUUCACCGGCCAGGUAAAAUUAUUAGAAUUUGUUGACACGUUAAAAAAUAGGAAAAUGCUAGAUGAACAGAAUUGGGUACGAAAGCAUUCAUAUAAUGAGUAUGUGUCAACUUUUAAUUGAAAUGGACCCCCUGUAUAUGCAUUAAUAGUACCAAUCAAAACUUUCCACCUCAGUUGCCAUAUCAUUUUGUGCAAAAUUCUGUACCCAAUUUUGUGCAUGUUAGCACUACUCUAAAAAAUAACCCAUGUUCACGUAUUGUUAUCCUAAAAUUGAAAGAUACAUUUAUGAAUGAUCUUGCACACAUGCCCCGUUUCAGCUGAUAUAAUUAUAUAAAAAUGAUAUUUUAACAACGGUUUUUCUAGUGUGUGCCUAUGGGCACAUGCUAAGCGCGGAAUUUGAGAAGUUUGGGAGAUUUUGAUUGGCUCUCAUAUCUUAAUAAUGGUAGACCCUCCUGCAAAUAUACCAACCACACCAAUCAAAAUCUCCCAAACAUAUCAAAUUCCGCGGACGCACACUGGACAAACCCUUUUAACAAAACUAAAUCGCACUGAAAUUUUGCUAACAGAGUCAGUUUUCUACACACCAAAAAGUUUCUAGCAUUAUCCUCAUCUGAUCUAGACACAUGAGUUUUUGUGCAUAUCUUUGGGGGACCCUGCUCAACUGUUUUGCUACUGUGAUUUAAAGAACGGGCCACGCAUAUUAAUCUUUUCUUUAAGUUUAAUUAUAUACAAUUCUAGGCUCUUAUCUUGCUUGAUAGGAACCUUGGUCCCUGGUAUGUGUAUAUCAAAAGACUUAUAUAACAUACAGAAUUUUUAUUGCAACAAAAUCCUGUUAUGUUUAGUGGUUUUCGUAAAUAUUCACUUAAGUUUCAAAUGAAAAAAGUUCAGGAACAUAAUGAAAUUUUGUUAUAAUUCUACUCGCCGGAUAUAUCACCCAACGGCCAUAUUUGUAAUCGAAAAAGAAUUUCUAAAUGCCCUGUUUGGAGAUUAGCUGUUAGCGGUUAGCUGUUAACGGAUUAAAUUAGAUAUUUUGACCAGCGGAUUGAAAUAAAUGUUUUGAGUAGCGGAUUGAAUUAGCUGUUAGGCAAAAUAAGUUUGUAAAGAUUGCCAUGAAGUUUACCAAUCCCCAUCACCCUCUUCAUAGGGUCCUGAACAAUACAGUGAUGAGCAUUAAAGUGAACUUCAAAAUUUGAUGAGGAACUAAGUUUACUGAUUGACACCAAAUUAAAGUGAAAAUCAGGAAUGUAUAGGACAUCAUGAAGGAUUAACUCUGAAGUUAACUGAAUUUGUCCUUUAGUCUUGACAUGUGCAAUGUGUCCAUUUGGAAGGCAAAUGUUUAUAUCACAAACAAUAGGAUUAAUCAGCAAAGUAUUGUGACAUGUUAUGUGAUCAGUUGCUCCAGAAUCUAAUACCCAAUCCAAGGAAGUAUGACAACUAGCCAGGCAAAUAGUAGUCAUUGAGGAGCAGUAAUUACCUGACUGUGGAGGAUCACCAGAAUGAGAGUUAGUAGAAUGAUUGAGAAGAGCAAGCAGCUGGUGGUACUGAUCAUCAGUGAAACCUGCAGAGGAGUUACUUGCAGACUGAGCAGUAGAGUUAUCUCCAUUAUCACCAACUUUGUUGACCUGAGCAAGGACUUUAGAACCAGAGUUUGGUUGAAACUUAGGUUUGCCUGCUGGUUGUUUUGCUCUUGGAGGAAAUCCAAUGAUAUGAUAGCAUCUCUCCCUGGUAUGAUUAGUUCCAUGACAGUGAGUGCAUUCCAUUGUGCCUUUCUUUGUCUGAGACUUAGGAUUUCCAGAGUUUGACUUCUUGAAGUUGGAUUUGUUUCCAUCAGUGACACUUCUAGUCAUGAGAACAGUAGAUUCUGGUACAGAUGUAUUGAAACUUGAGUAGUUUCUCUGCCUCUCAUCUUGCUGCAAUAGACUAAGUGUUUGUGUCAUCUUUGGAAGUGGAUCCAUCAUGAGAAGUUGACCUCUUAUAUUUGUGAAAUUCUCAUUGAGUCCCAUGAGAAACUGAGUAACUUUCACUUUCUCUUCAUAUUGCACAUUUUCAGACUUAGCACUACAAGUACAUUUUGGAGCAUUUGAUGCACUAACCAUAUCAUCAUAGAGUUUCUUGAAUUUUGUAUAAUAUGCAGAAAUAGUCAUAUUUUCUUGAACUAGACUAGCUAGAUCCUUUCUGAUCUCAAAGAACCGUGGUCCAUUGUUUUGAGUAAAUCGAGAGUGCAGAUCAGACCAUACAACAGAAGCAAGUGUAUCAUACACUAAACUAGACCUAAUUUCAGGAUUUAUGGAGUUCAACAACCAAGUGAUGAUCAUGUCAUUGCAUCUCUGCCAUGAAUCAAAGUAGGGAGAGGUAUUACCUGGAGUUUUGUAUUUUCCAGUGACAAGCCCUAACUUGUUCUUUGCAGAGAGAGCACGACUCAUAGACCUUUUCCACUCAUUGAAGUUAUCACCAGUAAGCAAUUCAGCGACAAGUAUCUGUCCUGGAUGAUCUGAAGGAUGCAAAUACAGUGGAUGACUUGAUUCCAAGCUAAUUGUAGUGAAAUCGCCAUCAAAAUCUGUAACUGUUUCUUCAUUAUCAGACAAAUGCGACGCCAUUAAACUGUUUGACAGAAUGUUUCAAAGAGACUUUAACACAGAUCUAUCUGAAUUGCUGCGAUUUACAACAACUCAAAUGUACAACUACGUGAACAAAGAUUGAGUGGUGGAGAUGAUGAUUGAGCGAUGGAAAUAGCGUUAGCGAUAAAGGAAGUAGCGGUGAGUAGCGGUGUUGUGCGAUGGUGAUGAACGAGUGUGUGCGGCGGAGACGAUAACUCGAGGAAAUUGCGGAAAAACGAGCGAACCUCGCUCUGAUACCAUGAGAAAAUUCUAAAUGGAAAGAAAGAAAUUUCAGAGAGUAAAACCAAAAAAAAAGUGUAUUCAUCUCUGAGCUAUAGCUCUGUUUAUAUACAAGAGUGCACAACUGAAUUCUGUUACACAAGUUCCCGCUCAACUAACAAACUUGAACAGUAUGAAAUGACUAAUAUGUCCUUAAGAUAUUUCUUGUAUUCUUAUUCUGCCCUUGUCCUUGCUGGCUUGUAUCUGUGGUAUAUUCUCCUCAAUAAAACUGUUUGGUUAAUAGCUGAUUGAUUAGUUUUUUCUGAUCCAAACCAAAACUUCUAAUCCAAAAAACUCCUCAAACUAUCUUUUUCAAAAUUAGCUUUUUGGUCUAAACCUCUAUAUCAAUCCGCUAACUACCAAACAUUUAUAUUAGCGGAUUCUAGUUGUCAAACCUCUAAACCACCCCAAAUUUCUAAUUUUGUCCCAAACCUCUAACUUUCAAAUAGGGCCAAAAAUUCUUAUGUAGCUCUCUCUUUUACAAAACCUUUGUUCAACAUGCGAUCGAGGUGGUCAACAACAGCGUCUAGAUGCCACCCACCAGUUAUCAGGCUUAGUGUUGGACGGCCAACCGAGGAGAAUGUUUGCCGAGUCUUAUCAUUCUCACUUAAAGAAAUACUACUCACUAAUUAGAUUUAUCUAUUUGGGGCACUGGCUUCUUUUUUUGUCAUCGUUCAUUUUUUAAGUUCUAUAAUCUUUGUAAUUGUUAAAUAUUAUUGUAAAUGCUUUUCCAACUUUUUAACUUUUCUGUAUAAAAUAAGCUUUUACGAUCAUAUUUCUCUUAGAACCCAUAGUAAUUUAACCAAGAUUCAGCGGCAGAAUUUGCCUUAUUUUGUAGUUUUGUAUUCUAAGCUGAACUUUUAUUUUGUAUUGAAAUCAUGAGAUAUUUUUUGAAUUUUAUCAGAGAUUUUUUGAUUAUUUUAAAUUAUUUUGACAAAUCAUGAUAUAAUAAAAUAAAAUACUUAUUAUGAAUUAAUCCGAAAAUAAUCGAAAAAUCAGGAAUUACUAUCCCUUAUUCCCUUGGAAUAUAGUAAGAGCAUCUCCAGCAGAGUCCUAACAUAUUCCCUAAAUAUAUAAUAAAAUAUUCAUUUUUUAAGGGAUCACUACAUUUUAUUGAAUCGAAACUCCAACAACAUUCUCUAUUUUUAUUCCCUAUUAUUAUUAUAAUAUUAUUUAUAUUCAACUUGUAAGUAGGAGAGAGAAAGGAGGGAAAGAGGGAGAAAAGUAGAGAAGUGAAUAUUUUAUUUUUCAAAAUAGUAUGAGGAAUGGUUCCACAAUCCUUAAAAAUGAGGAAUGAAGUGGGCAUCCUAAUUUUUUAAGGGAUGUCAUAUUCCUUAUAUUGAUAGCUUAGUACACCAUAUAGGGAAGCUGAGAUGCUCUUAAUACACAGCAGACACGGGUGGAGCCGAGGUUAGUGGGACCAACCAACUUUUAAUAUUUGCUAAUUUUGAAAGCAGGAUCCUCUUCACAAAUGCUGAUGCAGGAGUUAACCUCCACCGGAGUUGCUCUAACAACUCAGCAACGGCGGGGUCUCCAGCCUUGUACUCACAAAUCAAAUGUGGCAUUACUAGCUAGAGAGACCGAUAAAGUCCAGAAGUAUGCAAACAUACAUCAUUAAGGUUUGAGGGAAUAACAUUUUUAGCUAAUAAUUUAAGUAAAAUAGUAACGCAUAGACGAUUCAGAAAGAUUACAUCAAUACCGGUAUUUUAUUUCAUUUAAAAAGAUUACAAACGUUACAGAAUGAAGUUGCUCAUUAAAACAAAGUACAAAAAAAAAAAGUUGCAAUUUUGUCGUCCACUCAUAAAAUUAUGAAGUUGAGGCAUCUCUCCUUCUCUUCCCAUAAAUUUAAAAACGACAGAUUAUUGUAACACGGUGGAGAGUUCAGCUUAGUUAGCAAUGAGGUAGGCCUCGAUAGCUUUGAAGAGAGCCGUGUUCUGAGCAUCUGCAAACUUGAUGUUCUCUUCAGGAACCACGGCAUCGCCUUUGGUGUGGAAUAUGGCCGUGGUCUUGGUAAUGCUACCUCCGUCAGCAGUUGGCACAACUACGAG